UCCUGUUGGGAAAUCUAGGAAAAUUUUUCCCUUUGUCAACUGAAACAUACCAUUCACGUCUGUAAAGUUCUAAUAGUGAUUAUCAUAAUAUAAAAUAAGAUUUGUGUGUUUUCUCUUUUUCGAGAAAAGUUAUGUACUAGAGCAAGACUGGUACGGAGAAUGACAGUAAAUAAAAACAUGACAAUGGGGAGAUGCUGAAUCAGGUGUUUAUAAUACUUGUCAAUGGACCAAUGAACACCUCACACUUUGAGAACCAAAUUCGCAGGCAGCAUCUGAGAACGAGUCCUGGAUUUCGAGCGUUGGAGGGCUGUGCAGACAAUGACAGAGGAAGUGGCUGUUCGGAUGAGGCACGGCGGAGCCAAGCAGACACUGGGAGAACUUCAGGUCGUUAGGGAUUCCCAGGUCAUUUGCUGCCCAAAGAGUAACGUCGACCCCAGCUCCUGGGUAGAUGUCAACAAGGACAAAUGCCUGUAGAAAAAUUAACUUGGAUAAACUGAAAACUGCUCUUUGCCCAUAUAUUAAACAAUCUGGAACCUUU
Equus caballus (horse) is the source of this 538-nucleotide non-coding RNA. Lineage: Eukaryota; Metazoa; Chordata; Mammalia; Perissodactyla; Equidae. The record is from RefSeq and is a predicted model, not a curated record.